This is a long non-coding RNA of Corticium candelabrum, 1043 nucleotides long. RefSeq lists it as uncharacterized. The transcript is spliced from 4 exons. NCBI's taxonomy places the organism in Eukaryota, Metazoa, Porifera, Homoscleromorpha, Homosclerophorida, Plakinidae. The record is from RefSeq and is a predicted model, not a curated record.
CUUCAAGUGAAUGCCGUGUGUGCAAAGGAUGUAAAUAAAGCAUCGGCGGCUCUUGAGAAAGGAGCAGAUGUGAACGUAGUAGCAAAAGAGAAGGUAAGUAUUGAUUGAUGUGUAAAUUUACAGAUCUAGUUUGUAGACUAGAGAGAUCGGGUUCGACGUUGUUAAAUGAGGAAAUGUAUGAGAAAGUGACGAUCAUUUGCGAUGUUGAGGUGGCGUUGGUUGGAAGUGCCGUUUUAAUUUCGCUUGGCCCGUAUUAGUGAACGAAUUGUUUCGUCUCGUUCGCUCCUACGUCGUUUGUUUUGCUGUCGUUUUUUGUUGUUUUAUAUGGUCACGCCCUGUACACAUAUCACGUGACCUACACUGGAGAAGCUUCAUUGACUCUAGUAGCCAAUUUGUGUAUUUCUUGGGGAGACUAUGGUGGUGCGUCUGGUCUUCCAUCAGCGUUGCAAGUAGCAUGUCCUGAUUCGUCAAUCGAAUUGGUAGACUAGCUGCUAGACUACAACAUAAAGCAAACGUGAACUACAAUGAUGAUGGGAAUGGACAGGCAGCUCUGCAUUUAGCUUGUCAGAAUGGUCAUUUGACAACUGUGGAGAAAUUAUUGUCAUCCGGAUGUAACAAAGACUUAGUGGAUGAUGAUCUGUGUUUCAAAAUGACAUGUAAUGAAGCAUGUCAACGAUGAACACCUGAGGAAGCUUUCCACAAUGUGAAAGAACAGAAGUCAACAGCAAUAUACCGAUCAACUGAACGAAGAAGAACCGUUAGAGGACAUUUGGAAGGCGACUUCACCAUUCUUUCAACUAAUCGAGGAAACUUGUACUUGCUGUCGGUUAAGAGUUCUUUGGACAAGAGCAACGGCUACAUGGUUUAUGUUUGAUUUACAAUUUCUGCUAGACAAAGAGAAUUGUUUAGUUUGCAAUUGUGUAUGUGACUGCUAGAAUAUCAAUUAUUAGUAAACUGAAUCAUGUCGUGUUACAAAUAAUUGCUUUGAGUACAAUUUUCUACGUGUUUUCCUUCACACUUACUUUGUACAGAAGUACAUUCAU